Molecule: ribosomal RNA, 168 nt
Filed under: uncultured Prochlorococcus sp.
Lineage: Bacteria; Bacillati; Cyanobacteriota; Cyanophyceae; Synechococcales; Prochlorococcaceae
Description: partial 23S ribosomal RNA
Source: RNAcentral
GUCCUUUCGAUGUGACGAGGCGUCCAGAGUUGAAUGGGUAUUCAGACCAUUUUCUAAUGACAACACUCUCGUUUAACCUGGAAGAAGUUUGGAGAUUGGAAUCCGGCGGACUUUGAUUAAAACCAGCACUUCCACUGACGAGGAAGCGCUGAACGUAAAGAUAAAUCU